This 539-nucleotide ribosomal RNA is filed under the name uncultured bacterium. RNAcentral's name for it is "bacterial SSU rRNA". It matches the Rfam family "Bacterial small subunit ribosomal RNA", at positions 767 to 1304 of the family's 1533-position model. The record is from RNAcentral.
AGCUAAUAGAUACCCGGGUAGUCCACGCCCUAAACGAUGUCUACUAGUUGUUGGUGGAGUAAAAUCCAUGAGUAAACGCAGCUAAACGCGUGAAGUAGACCGCCUGGGGAGUACGGUCGCAAGAUUAAAAACUCAAAGGAAUUGACGGGGGCCCGCACAAGCGGUGGAUUAUGUGGAUUAAAUUCGAUGCAACGCGAAAAACCCUUACCUGGCCUUGACAUGCCACUAACGAAGCAGAGAUGCAUUAGGUGCCCGUAAGGGAAAGUGGACACAGGUGCUGCAUGGCUGUCGUCAGCUCGUGUCGUGAGAUGUUGGGUUAAGUCCCGCAACGAGCGCAACCCUUGCCAUUAAUUGCCAUCAUUUAGUUGGGCACUUUAAUGGGACUGCCGGUGACAAACCGGAGGAAGGUGGGGAUGACGUCAAGUCCUCAUGGCCCUUAUGGCCAGGGCUUCACACGUAAUACAAUGGUCGGUACAGAGAGUUGCCAACCCGCGAGGGGUAGCUAAUCUCAGAAAGCCGAUCGUAGUCCGGAUUGUUCU